CCGGGGCGCGCGCCCGAGCGUCUCCGGGUCGCGGUCCCUCAGCGCGGCCGGCGGCGCCCUCAGACCGGCGGGCCGGGUCUCGUGUCCGCCCCCCGGUCGCCUCCGCCCCGAGCGCGGCUCCUCAGGCGAGGCUCCCGGACGCGCGGGGGUCGGCGGAAGGCGCGGGCCGGGGGCGCACGCCCCGCAGCGGGGAGCCGAGGCCGAGGCGGCGCGGCCGCGGGGUCCGGCCGGCGCGUUUCCCGCCCGGCUGUGGUCCGAGGCGUCCGCCGGCGGAAGCCCCCCAGCCCUGCUGCUUCGCUCACUUAACUAGGCCGCCAGCUGGAGCGCGUCUGGGGGCGACGGCAGGGCCCCAGGAGGCCGGGCCGGGGCCUGGCGGCCGGACGCACGGACCCCCUCGGGCCCUUCGCGGCCCGGGGCGCGUGACCCCCGCUCCGGUUCCAUCCGGAACCUGCAGAGUCGCGGCGGCAGCGUCGGCCCCGCAAGGAGGGAGGUUGGGGAGGGUUAGACGGGUUAACAGGCAGAGCCCCGCGCUGCUGUGCCGCUGGGAAGUAAGAUGCCCUGUUUCCCGGGGGCUUCAAGGCAGCAAAGAGCCGCUUAGGAUCCGGGGCGAGGGCGUGUGUUCCGUGGAUGAUGGGGUCGCCGCAACAGCGGCCCGUCAGAUGCCACGUCCACCGCGGAGCUGGGGGCGGGUUGCCCUCCCCGGCGAAAGGGACGUUGCAGAGAUGCUGCAGGAUCCUGGCGGAGGGAGAGCCUGGGGUGUCCGGGUGGGCCCGUGGUGAUCCCGAGGUUAAGUGCGGGAGCGGGGCGAGGGGAGGAGCCGUGAGGGUGGAGGCCGUCCGUGUGCCUUCACCGCCCCUAAACCGGAUGCCCCCGAAAAGGCAGCUGCCGGUGCGCCUGCUGCUUUCGGGCCGUGGGGUUUUCCCGCUGGCUGCUUUAUAAGGUGUUCUUCUCGUAGGUUUGAUUUCUGCUCCUGUGCUAUGUAUGUUUGGGAGCGUGUUCCUUUUUAUUUAUGGUGCUUGAGAUACACCGGACCUCCUGAAUGUGUUGAUCAGUGCCUUUCAUGGGUUCUGGGAAAUUUUCAGCCGUUACCUCUUCACAUGCUGCUUCUGCCCCCACUUUCUUCUCUCCUUCUGUAACUCCAAUUAGGUGUCUGUCAGAUCUUUUCCAUCCACUGUUUCUCUUACCUUCUCUUUUUUUAUAUUUUCUAGAUUACUAAUUCUCUCUUCUAUGGUGUUAAACUUAUGUAUUGAGCUAUUUUGGGGGGGGAGAGGGAAUUUUAGGUUCUAGAAUUUCUACUUGAUUCUUUUAAAAAUCUGUUCGAUUCAUUAUUUUUCUUUAAAGAUUGGCACCUGAGCUAACAUCUGUUGCCAAUCUUUUUUUUCCCUUCUUCUCCCCAAAGCUGUCCAGUCCAUAGUUGCAUAUUCUAGUUGUAGGUCCUUCUAGCUGUGCUAUGUGGGACGCUGCCUCAGCAUGGCCUGAUGAGCGGUGCCAUGUCCAAUCCCGGGAUCCGAACUAUCGAAACCCUGGGCCGGCGAAGUGGAGCACUCGAACUUAACCGCUUGGCCCCAGGGCCGGCCCCUAGAUUCAUUUUUAUAAUGGCUAACUCUUUGCCAAAAUUGUCAAUCUUGGCUUUUAUCUCUUUGAAUAUAGUAGGCAUCGUUGGUGUCCAGUCUGGGUCUCUGAUAGGUCCAAUAUCUGGAGUCCCAGUGGGUCUGUUGUAGGUUCUUCGUUCUAGUUAUUUGUUGUGUAUUGUUUAAGCUGGUUCUUGCUCCUGUUGUCACCUGUCUUUGUAUGCUAGACAUUGUAACAGAAACACUUGAAACCCUAGUGAAACAUAUGAUGAUUUCUUUUCCCCACAGAGGAUUUCAUUUUCUUCUGGCCGGUGCCUCAGGAUGCCAACAAACAGGAUCACUCUAAUCCAGAGCGUUGGGCACUUGGGGGGACUGAUUUAGUCUGGUUCACUCCACCUUCCAGGGUGCUGUCCUUCUGAGGACCAGCUGAAAACAGGUUUACCAGAGUCACCACUCUUGACAGGUCCUAGACUCCAUAUUUUGUUCCCUAGAUUGCUUCUGAAUCUGGAAAUGCCCCCAGGGCAAAAGUGCUCUGCAUGUGUGGACCCUGUCCUCUUCUGCUUCUUGGCCAGCUAAUUUCUCACUCACUACCUGGUUAGCUUUUGAUGAUUUAAAAAUGUUGUUACAGGGUACCUCCAUACUUGGCAAUGUUCAAAAAAUGAAAUAUUAUUAUAGAUUACAAAGGAUAACGCGUAAUAAUAAUGACAACAAUGACAAAAAACUCUACCACUUAUUGAGUACCUUCUGCGUACCAGCCUCUUGGUUGGACCUCUUAUAGUCCUUAAUGUAAGUAGAGGAAAGAUUGGAGACUUGGGUUCUUGUCCUGGCUUGACAACUGAUGAGCCAAGUAACUUAGACAAGACCAACCUCAAGUCCUCCAUGAAGAUCCCUCUCAGUUCUUAAAUUCUGUUAUUCAAAUCUACAUAGAAUUGAACGUCCAAGGCGCCUUGGGAGGAACUUGCCGGUGGUAUGUUAAAUGUUGCAGAGGAACUUCCUGCUAGCCCACCUGCGUUAGUUUCCUAUUGUUGCUAUAACAAAUUACCACAAAUGUAGUGGCUUGGAACAAUGCAAAUUUGUCAUCUUACAGUUCUGGAGAUCGGAAGUCCCAGACGGAUCUCACUGGGCUGACAUCAAGGUGUUGGCGGGGCACUCCUGGAGGCUCUAGAGGAGAAUCCGUUUUCUUACCUUUUCCAUCUUAUAGAGGCUGCCCACAUUCAUUCUUUGGCUGUGAUCCCCUUCCCACAGUUGCAUCACUCCAAGAAUAUAAACAAUAUAAAAUCAAAGUAUUUUAGAAGAGUGGCAAAGAGGCUGGAAAGGAGAUAAAUAAUGUUCUAAGGUUCUCUGUACAUCUGCAGCUUCUCUUUAUAGAGAACUUGCUCUCCGUUUCCUUGCACGCGGCUGUGAGACACUGGCGUCCUCAGCUCCAGAGUUCAGAUAACCACCAUUCCAAAAAAUGGCCAGCUGUUUUAGUUUCAGUUACAAAAUCUAAGGAGAAAGCAACUGACUAGCUCAGUUUUUAUCGGAGUCUACUCCUAGUCCAAUCAAGUUUGUCUAGGGGUGGGGUGGCAGAGUGAAAAUGUGGCUUGCAAAUUCUACUCUGUCAGUUAGGAAGGGUGGAGAAUUGUCAGUGAAAGAUGGUUGCUUUGAGCUAAGCAGACACCCCAAAGGUUGUGUAACACGUUCCACCUAUUGGAUGGCAGCACACAGACGAAGGCCUGAUGGUUGGGAGAGGCAGAUUCAAAUCCAUAAGUAUUUAAUACAUGCUGUCAUUCUGGCUUGCUCCAAAUAAGCCAAUGUCAUAAUCUCUGUAGGAACAUGAUUUUGGUUCUAAGAGACCACAGGCCAUAGUUUAGCCCUGUGGUCCCCAAUCUUUUUAAAAUAUUCCUCUCAGUAUGACCUUUUUAAACAUGCACCCAUAAUAUAUGAAUAUGUAAAUAUUUUAUUAAGGCAUUUCAUGUGAACAUUUUUAUACCGUGAACAAACAUGCAAAUAUAAAAUUUUAAAGAGUGAAAUGAACAAGAUUUUUAAAUGUCUUGCUAAUCAUAAUGGCUUCAUAUUAUCAUUGGUGGAUGUAAAUCCAUAUUUCAAAUAGUCGUCUUGAAAUUUUUGAGCCUCCUCGUGUCAAGUCUGGUUACAUCAUCAUUGUUUUCAUCUCAGUAUGUGGCUGACAAGAGUUCGUACCAGAAGUGGACAAGUGUUGGCUCUGCCGUUUUCUUGUAUUUCAGUUGUACUUUCAUUAUUAGUAUCAGUUAUUUACCAUGGUUUCUUAGGAUUCUUUUUAAGACACUCAGGCGUUUUGUGAUGGUUAGCUUAGUUAAAACUGGAAAAUAUAAUCUAUGAGUUGAUGUAACUGGACUCUCAAACUGCCAGCUGUCAUAAUAUACUAUCACGUGAAGUGUAUUAAGUGCCUGUGUGAGGGAUCCCUUUAGAAUCCUCUGCAUUGGAGGGGGAAUCCCCCUCUUUCCUCAGGAUUGCCCUCAGUGAGAGGGAUUAUGUAGAAAGUGAAAGAAGUUAAUGAUUCAAAGCUCCUCGCUUUCAUGGGCCCCUAAUCCUUUCCAUUCCACUUUCCCCUCUGUCAUACAUCCAUCCUUCGUGUUGGAUGGGUGUUGGACUGGCAGCGGGCAUCUUUUGGGAUCUAAGUGGAAGCUGAAUGGGCUGGUGCAUUUAAUUUGGGUUUAAUGGAAAAGAUGUAUGUGUAAGUUAUCAUUAGCCUUCCUGAUGUAGGAAUGCUUUCCAGGAAUAUUUUUACACUGCCGACUCAUCUAGCUCCUGGGACACGAAGAUGCAAGGCCAGAGGUCAGAUCGUGAUCUGAGUGUGUCCAACCAUGCUGGGUACUAGGAGGAUGGGGGUAGUGGAGGAGAAACAAUUCGAAAUGUAUGGAAUCAGAUACUGUUCUUUAGAGAAUUUGUCUAAAGAGACAUGCAAAAUUAUAAGUGGAAGAUUUGGUUCUCAUUAAUGCCUAGUCAAAAUGGAAGUCUCUACUGGCAGGAAUACACUAAAUAAUGAGGCAUAUAAAAUUAACAACUCACCACACAUUUUUUCUUUCUUUUUUUUUUUUAGAUUGGCACCUGAGCUAACAACUGUUGCAAAUCUUUUUUUUUCUCCCCAAAUCCCCCCAGUAUAUAGUUGUAUAUAUAUAUUUUUUUAGUUGUGGGUCCUUCUAGUUGUGGCAUGUGGGAUACCACCUCAGCGUGGCCUGAUGAGCAGUACCAUGUCUGCACCCAGAGUCCAAACCGGCAAAACCCUGGGCCACCAAAGCAGAGCAUGCAAAGUUAACCACUUGACCACGGGGCCAGCCCCCCAUUUUUUCUCUCCUUAUGAGAAAAAUCACAUGAAAUUGAAAUUUCUGUGUUUCUUUUCUUCUUCUAAAUAACAAUUUGCUUUCAUUCCUUAUUUUGGAUUCAUAAUUUUUUGUUCUUUUUCUUUAAGAAAGCUCCCAAAAUACGGUUGUAUCAGGCCACAAAAAACCUAGAUUCAUGCCUGCCACAUACCUGAGUGACAUGAAACCAUUUGACAUAUGAAUUAAGUAAGAACAAUAGUGUCAAUUCAUAUAUUAAAUAGUCGUUAAACUUAAUUUUUCAAUUUUUUAAAUAAAAAAUAUAAAAGUAUGUGGUCUAAUAUGUUUCCAUAUCUCAGUGAUGAGAUUUGUAUGCUCCCCUUCAGAGACAAUGGGUCAAACCAACUAUUUUGCUAUGGUUGAAUAAGAAAGGCUUGCUGCACGCCUAGAAAAAUGGGGCAUCCCACCCUCCACUGCCUCUCCUUGAAUUGGUCACUCACACAUUUCAAGCACUGCACUUCUGUCACCAAGUUCUGUUAGACUGAACCAUAUAAAAUUGUAGUUUUUAUAGGUCAAAAAUGGUCUAACAUUGGAAAAUUCAUAGGUUCACCAUAGUAUAUCAUUUAGGAUGCAUUCAGCUGCAUGUAAAAGAAACAAGACUCAAAUUGACAUAAACAAUAAGGAAACAUAUUGUGAGGAUAUUGGUGAACUCACAAAAUUGACUAAAAGGCUUUAGAAGCAAGUUUGGAAAACAGGCAGAAACCAAAGAAGGCAAAGUAGAGGUUUGAGACCCAACUCUGUCAUUUUGACCCAACUGUGCCAUUUUGAGCAAGAGUUACUUAACCUCAAUGGGACCUGUUGAAAAAAAUGGGGAUAAUAAUAUCUACCUCAAAUGGAGCAUUAGGUUAAGGAUGAGAGGAAUGGAAAGGGGCCAACAAUUAUUGAGCAUAGAGUAAUGUGUGCCAGUCCCUGAGAUGAAUGCUUUAUAUGCAUCAACUCAAAUUAGAAAGUAUAUGUACAGUGUGGGGGAUGGGGGAGUUGGUAAUCCUUAGAAGCACAGAUAUCACUUUAGCAUUCUCUGGGAGGAUGUGUCAGUCACAACCUAGCAGGAAAGAGAUGGCACACUCAACGGGAAAAAUGGAGGAGAAUUUAAUGGAGUAACCAUUUAUGAGGGUGUGGGCAGAGUUAGGAGACACCAAUAAAGGAUGAUGAAGCACUGUAGGGCAAGCCUGGAGGGACAAAGGAGUAGUCAGCAACUAAAACUCAGGAAGAGACGUGUGAGAGCAGGUGCCCGACUCUGCUGUGGCCUGCCGUGGAGGCACAGUGCAGAGCACCCGGAAAACAAAGACCUGAUAUUACUCCUCUCUCGACCUUAGACCUCCUAGUAGGGCCUCCCAUCAGUUAAACCCAACUGGAAGUCAGAGGGAAAGAGGUACCAUUGAUAUGGUCCAAGAAGGUCACCCACUGGGGCAGAGAGCAGGGUGGAAAAGGGUGGAAAGUGGAUUCGCAGGGGCAGAGGAGAAUAUCUAGCACAGAAAGUGUAGAAAUGAGCAAAGUUACCUCGUAUAUAUGUUCUCUUGUGGGAUCAGAAAGAUUUAAUCCACCUGUUUGGAGACCAGGGACUUCAGAGAAAGGAUCUUUCUAGGCUGGGCUUACAUCAGAACCUGCCUUGUUCUAAAUUCUAGCUCAAGGGUGAUGAGAUUAGAGUGUGUUAGUCAACUCUGAUUAAGCCUUCCACAAGGCCAAUUCAGUGAUUAAAUUAACAGUGAGCACUUACACCAGUUUUUAAAAAUGUCUGCUCGUCACUCAAAGUCAAGAAGAAAUGUUGCAUCUCAAGAGCUAGGUAAGCUGUUAUGGAGCAUGGGUUCUGACUAGCAAGCUGCUGUAUCCCAAACUCCAUCUCAUUUUCAUGGAUCCUCCCCAAAUUAAGCUAAUCCUGCCACUCACCCCUUUUUCUGUAUGUGGUCUCUCUUCUUCAGUAAACAAUCCCGAUUACAUGGGGCCAGGAAUGGAACUACCUAGAUCAAGUUACAAACUCUGCACUAGCCUCCAACAGCAUUAAGAUGGGCCUUGGAAGCAAGCAGAGCUGAAGAAAAGAAGGACUGCUGGGAAGGCCCCGUUGCCUGAAGCUGUGAUGUCCCAGGAAUCAAGGGAGCAGGCCCAGCAUGGGGCCACAUGAGGAGCUGGAUCUGCAGACUGAGGUUAUAGGUCCUUCUAGUUCUGCUAUAUGGGACCCCACCUCAGCAUGGCCGGAUGACCAGAUGAGUGGUGCUAGGUCUGCACCCAGGAUCCGAACCAGCGAACCUCGGACGCCAAAGCAGAGCAUGCGAACUUAAGCACUCGGCCACAGGGCCAGCCCCUAAGCAUGAAGUUUAAAUGGAAUGUUUAACAAAUGGAUGGGUCUGCAUUUUGGAGGAGGUCAUUUAGAACAGGCUUUGAAUAGUUUUGACAGCAGCAAGUCCUUCACCUGAUGCUUUGUUUAAUUUAAGCCUUCUAACCAAAUGAGAUACAUGAGGAGAUAUUCCUGGGUACCAACUAGUGAAGACCUUGGAACUACAAAUGUCAAUGUAGUCUUAGGAUGAUACUGGCAGGAAGGAGGCCUCGCAGGUCAGCUGAGAUUUGUGCAUAUCUGUGCUUACCAUAAAUAAUUAUGUGCCCAGAUCCAUCUUCUUCAUUGGUUCUGGCAUCCCACAACGUUCAUGAAAGUGAAUUUUAGGCAAUAGGGUUACAUUUGAAGAGAUCCCGUCUGAUCUGUCCGCGUUCCUUUUGCACACCGCUGCACCAACCCAGGUAACGAUCAGUGGAGGGUUGACUGAGCUCCCAGGACUCCAACUCCACCAGCCUCCCAGGUGACGUCCUGAGACAGUGCUUCUCAGACCCUCCUCCUCAGGUUCGGUGGGCAUGCCCUCGAGGGAUAAUAAGUGUACCCCAAAAGCACCAGUCCUAAAUGCGUAGCCUGAUGAAUUAUUGCAUAUGUAUCCCCUUGUGUCAUCACCACCCAGAUCAGGAUAAAGAAAACUUCCAGCACCUCACAAGAGUCCCUCUUGCUUCUUCCCAGUCUGCAUCCCAACCCAACGGGAGGUAAUCACUAUCCUCACUUCUGUUGUCAUUGACUAGUUUUGCCUGUUCUUAAACUUUGUAUAAGUGGAACCAUACAAUAUGCAUUCUUUUAAAUGUGGCUUCUUUCACUUAGCUUAAUACCUAUGAGAUUCAUCAUGUUGUUGCAUGUACCAGUAGUUUGUUUUUUUCUUUUCUUUUUAGCUCAUAGCUAUAUUCUUUCCCCACCCAGUUUUACUGAGAAAUAAUUGACAUUCAUCACUGUAUGUUGUUUCUAACUGCUUUGUAGUAUUCUAUUUUAUGCAUACACCACAAUUUAUCUAUUCUUCCAUUGAUGGGCAUUGAGUGGUUUCCAGUUUGGCUAACAUGAAUACAGCUGUGAUGAACAUUCUUAUGCACAUCCUUUGUGAACAUAUAUACCCAUUUCUCUUGGGUAAAUUCCUAGAACUGGAAUUGCUAUCACGGGGUCAGCUACAUUUAGCUUUAGCAGAAACUGCAAAUUUGCUUACAAAAUGGUUACACUAUUUAUAUUUCCAUCAGCAACGCAUAAGAAUCCCAGUUCAUCCACAUCCUUGUCAUCAUUUGCACUGUUGAUCCUCUUAAUUUUAGCCAUUCUGGUUGGUGUCUAGUGGUAUUUCAUUGUGGUUUUAACUUGCAUUUCCCUAAUGAGUAAUGACACUGAGCACAUUUUCAUAUGCUUAAUGGAUGUUUGGAUGUCUUAUUUUGUGAAAUGCCUGCUCAAGUCUUAUAUCCGCUUUUAGGUGAGUUCUUCAUUUUUUUCUUAUUGAUUUGUAGGAGUAAUUUACAUAUUCCUAACAUGUCUUUUGUCAGAAAUAUGUACUGUGAAUAACUUCUCCAUUGUGUGAUUUGUCUUUUUAUUCUCUUAAUGGUAUAUUCUAAUGAAAUAACUUUAAUGAAGUCCAACUUAUCAAGUUUUCAUAGCAGUGCUUUUUGAGUCCUGGUUAAAAAAUUUUUGCCUAUGCCAAUGUCAUGGUAUCAAUCAGGUUUCAGCUAGAGAAGCAGAACCACUGGGAUAUACAUAUUAAGAGAUUGUUGCAAGGAAUUGUCUUAUGUGAUUGUGGGGGCCUGCUAGGCAAGUUCAAAAUCUGUAGGGCAGGCUGUCAGGAAGGACAGGAUGGAACUUUUGGCAUGGGCUGAAGCUGCCAUCCACAGGUGGAAUUUCUUCUGCAUCAGGGAAGACACACUCUGCUCUUGAGGGCUUCCACUGAUUGAACCAGGCCCAUCCAGAUUACCUAGGGUAUGUACCUUACCUAAAGUCAACUUUAAUCACAUUCAAAAUACCUUCAUGUACCACCUAGAUUAGUGUCUGACUGAAUGACUGAGGCCUAUAGCCUAGUUAAGUUGACACAUCCAAAGAUCCGCAUAGUCAUAGGCAAAUGCUUCUGUUUUCUUCUAGAGAUUUUAUUGUUUUACCUUUUUCAUUUAGUUGUGUGAUCCAUCUUGUGAUAAUUUUUGUGCAUGGUAUAAAGCAGGGGCCAAAGCCAAGUGGGGUAUCGUUAUGGAGCAGCAAUGUGGUCAGAGAAGGUGGACUCUGGCCCCCGCCACAGGAAAUGAGUCACAGAUUGAUCCAAGCCAAUCGUGGUCAUGCUAUAUUCCUCUCAUUUGUUUAGCAAAUGUUUAUUAAGUACUUACUAUGUGCCAAAGGGAUUCUCAGUUCUGAGAAUACAGCAAUGACUAAUAACAGGUAAAGUCCCUGCUCUCAUGGAAUCUCCCUUUGCAAGUGAUUGGAUAGAGACUAAGUAUGAAACCCUGCUCUGAGCACUGGGACCUGAGGAAAGUAUGUUGUGGACCUCCAGGGAGGGUGUCUGUCCUUCACGAAAGGGAGACUUUCAGAGAAACCCCCUGCCUUGCAUGUGGGAGUUCACGAUAUUUGGUGCUGCUGCUGUCGAGCUCUGACCUGUAGGUUAAAACCCAGAGAAUGACAGAGAAGCCAGCCCAGAGCCCCGCCACCUUUGAGCUCCUUUGUUAGCCUAUCUCAAGGUUUCUUAUGUGACAGAAUUAAAUAUUCAUAUUGUUUAAGCCACACUCAGGCAUUCUAUUACUUGUAGCCAUAUAUGCGUAGAUUUCUUGGCAUGACGCCUCUGCUCUCUAAUUUGUGCCAUAACGCGUCUCAGUUCCCUGCACCAUCCGGCCCCAGCCUUAACUCUGCCUUCCAUCUUAGACACACUCACACCACAGACGUUCACCGGCUCCCGUCCUAACUCGCUUUGAUCUUUAGAGAACUAAUUUGAUCCCUUCUGCUGUGAUCACUCUGCCCCAAAGUUUCCACCUCAAACAUACAUCCACCUCGCCGCUCCUGCCACGUCCCUCUUCCCUUUCUAGUUUGACCACCAUCCCCCCAACCUCACACACACCAAGCCCCAGUUAAAGAGGUAGGCGCCGGAUUACGGUUGUUCAGUGUUGGAGCCAGAGUUGGUGCAAUUUUGAUGCAAAGCCACACGAAAUAUGGUGCUGUGGAGGAGCAGAAACUACGAGCCUUGCCAAGAAGCCAGACCUCAGAGACUGUUCACGGACACAGAGCAGCGCUGAGAGAACACGCUGUCGCAGAGAAUCAGAGGAAAGGUGCCUGAUGAUUUCUGGGUACCGUAUGGCCUGACUAUCCUUACUGCGACUGAGUUCCUUGGAAGGCCCCUGUCUUCUCGUAGUGAAACUGCUUCAACUAUUUAACUAUAAAAGCCUCCUUGAAGAGGUUUCUGUUUCUUGAAAACAAAUCACUAGACUAGGUGGCUCUUGCAGUCCCCAAAGGGGUCUUACUCUGUCAAGUGUACAAUUCCCUCUGUUAGAGAAUGGUAGCAGGUGUUUGGGAGUCGAGCAGGUAUCUGGUAAGCACACUUUCAAGCAUCCAGCAAUACCUUCUGCACAUUCCAGCCUAGGAUCCUCCGACAGGGGACAAACCCUUCCUCCAUCCUUCCUCAGGGAGGGCUCCUAAAUUCCUAGAGCUCCCUUUCUUGAGAAGCCAGGGGAAGCAUUUAACUCUUCUGUCUUAAUUUGGGCCGUUCUUCCCCAAAACAGAGCCUGGGACAAGGACUUGAGUUCUGAUAGUUUAUUUGGGAGGAGGGAGAGAGGGCGACAGGCAGAGUGACCAGCAGAGAGAGUGGUGCCUUAGUGGGCUGGCUACCACCACGGUGACGGGGGCUCAACUCUGCUGGAAACUUGCUGAAAACCCAUGUGGGAUGUGCCCUGGGGCCCAUCUACUCUGCCCACCACUGGGUCGGGUUUGCCCCAGGGCGUUAAUUCCCCUGUACUUUUGGGCUGUCCUGCACAACGGGUGAAGGAACUCCUGUGGCUUCAGAAAAACCUCAGAGGCAGAAGAGCCGAAAGUCACAGGGGCCCCCCCUGUGGGACCUGGCAGUGAGCAUGGGAACAGUCUGACUUCAGCUGAGGAGGUGGGCUGAGGGAUGUGUCAGAAACCAUUGUCUCCAUCCCUUCUUUGGGAUAAGGGUUUUAUCCUAGUAUCAUUCAACCUGACUGUGGGGCCCCAAAUCAGAGACCCUAGAAGUAAAUAUGGCUGUCUCUGUGACAGACUGCUAUCUGCUAACCAGAAAUCCACGUUCUCUCCCUCCUGGGCGCUCUGCUGACCCUAAUUCCCAGCCUCCCUUGCAGCGAGGUGUGGCAACUGCCUGAGAUCCACCCAAUGGAAUGUGAGCAGAAGUGAUCGGCCCCAUCCCCAGGCCUGGCCACAGCAUCCUCCCGCACCUUCCUCUCCAUGUUUUCUCCCCUCUGCUGGCUCAGUGUUGAUUCUCGGGUGACCUGUGAAACCACCUGCUGAUGGUAGUAGUGCCUCUGCCAGCCUGGCUCCUUGCACGACCGCACACAACAUGGCAUCUCCCCCGCCCCCUCCUCCCACUGCCCCAGCCCCACCUCACUGCCUGGAGCUUCCUUGCUCUGAGAGAGAAAUGAACUCCUAAGGGGUUGGUAUAUACAGCAGCCAGCCUACCCUAACUCAUAUACCCACCAUAGUGCCGUACCCUUCCCUGGCACAGAAAUCAGUCUUCAGGUGUCUCUGAACUACACUGUUUAUGAAAGGCUUGAAAGUUUAUAAAGAUAAUUAUAAAAUUAACUCAUGCACAUGUAAAGAAAUCAAGCAAUACAAAAGAGUCCAAAAUCAAGGAAGAGUCUCCUGUCUCCCUUCUCACCCCAUUUCCAGCCCCACUUCCAUUAGGUAGCCUCUUUUUUUUUUUUGAGGAAGAUUAGCCCUGAGCUAACAUCUGCCACCAGUCCUCCUCUUUUUGCUGAGGAAGACUGGCCCUGAGCUAACAUCCGUGCCCAUCUUCCUCUACUUUCUAUGUGGGACGCCUACCACAGCAUGGCUUGACAAGCAGUGCCAUGUCCACACCCGGGAUCCAAACCAGCGAACCCCGGGCUGCCGAAGCAGAACGUGCGCGCUUAACCACUGUGCCACCGGGCCAGCCCAGCAUUUUCUAGAUUGCAAAAAUAACAAACUCCUAACUGACUGUUCGGUAACGGGAACAGUCGUGAAUCCUUAAAGGACAUGAAUAAGUCACGGAGAGGGUCUGCGUCACACUGGACGUGCGACUGUGAAUGGAAAGACCCAUGUCAGGCUUUCAGACUCGGAAAAGUAAGUCGCUGGAUCUGAGAAUUUAGCUGAAUUUUGAUUAACUCCAGGUUCAGCUGGGAGGACAGUGUAAGGAAAGAAGGAAGAUGGGAAUAUGGCUCAACAUCCCUCUUGAACUUCUCUGUCAGAAGGAAGUCCUGCCAGGAUAGCGGCUGGGAGCCCUGUUUUAAAUAGGCGUUAGUUGCCAGGACAGUAAAUCAUCUGACGUGCAAAUGAGUG
This 12722-nucleotide long non-coding RNA is filed under the name Equus caballus (horse). RNAcentral's name for it is "lncRNA (ENSECAG00000049339.1)". The record is from RNAcentral. Lineage: Eukaryota; Metazoa; Chordata; Mammalia; Perissodactyla; Equidae.